ACCCGUGCUCAAUUCUUGCAGCUGCAAUGUUGGCAAGAAGUGGUUGUUCACUGUUCCGGCAUGGGCCCCUUGAAAUUGUGACACACUUGAUGGAAAGCUCCCAAGACUCUGCGGUUCAGCUUUUUGACAACCGCAUUCUAGAUUUACACAGCGCCUUUAGGGUGGCAAACUAUUCCACAGCACUUCAAAAAGCUAUUUCCAUAUCCUUGCUGCUGUUGUCGAAAGUUCUAAUGGUGAACUAGACUGAAAGGAGAAGCACAGAAGUCUUGGGAAGUAACUUUCUGGGAUUCAACUUCAGAAACUGUUUCUUAGAAUCACUGGACAAUGUUUUUCUAAUGAACAGCACUUUAAAGUCUGCAUUUCAUGUUAGCAGAUUAAUGCAAAAAGCUGUUUUUAAUUCUAUAUAUACAGUUACAAGGUGUAUCAGGAAAAGCAACACAGAGCAGUCUGUCUUGUUGAUCAAAGAUCGCUUGAAUGGCCUGUACUAGCUUGGAUAGAUGUACUAAACUCUGAUCACACAAUUGUAAUCUAUUCUUAGUGCACUGAUCAACAUUCUUCUCUCAACCCACACUACUUGAAGACAAAACUAUUUGCUAAUUCAAUUAAUCAUUGCCUGUGGUACUUUUUCUAUGUAAAUUACUGACGUAAC
Hemiscyllium ocellatum (epaulette shark) is the source of this 649-nucleotide long non-coding RNA. RefSeq lists it as uncharacterized. The transcript is spliced from 3 exons. The record is from RefSeq and is a predicted model, not a curated record. Lineage: Eukaryota; Metazoa; Chordata; Chondrichthyes; Orectolobiformes; Hemiscylliidae.